RNAcentral lists this long non-coding RNA (208 nucleotides) under Medicago truncatula (barrel medic). RNAcentral's name for it is "long non-coding RNA (MTRU_LNC006142)". Lineage: Eukaryota; Viridiplantae; Streptophyta; Magnoliopsida; Fabales; Fabaceae. The record is from RNAcentral.
CCGUCGUUGCCAUUCAUCUCCGCCGCUCAAAUAUCUGUCGCGUUCAUCUCCAUCUAGGCUUCUGAAACUCAAUUUGAAAGGUGAGUUACCAAUUCAUGAUCCUGCAAUUUUGUUUGAGUUCGAUUGUGAAUCUGCUACAAGUUCCUUAUGAAAUUAGGUUGAUUUUGAGUUCCAUCGUUUUGAUUUUCUGGGUUUGAUGUGGUUAACG